CACACUGAUGAGGUAAUUUGCGAUUGAUUCUGGUCGGUGGCUCUCUCGCCGGAGAUGCUAAACCGUCCAGAUAUAUGAUAUUCAAUUCUUACAUAUUCUGAGA
RNAcentral lists this small nucleolar RNA (103 nucleotides) under Beauveria bassiana ARSEF 2860. RNAcentral describes it as "A. fumigatus snoRNA Afu_514". It matches the Rfam family "A. fumigatus snoRNA Afu_514". Lineage: Eukaryota; Fungi; Ascomycota; Sordariomycetes; Hypocreales; Cordycipitaceae. The record is from Rfam by way of RNAcentral.